Molecule: long non-coding RNA, 1245 nt
Filed under: Androctonus crassicauda
Lineage: Eukaryota; Metazoa; Arthropoda; Arachnida; Scorpiones; Buthidae
Source: RNAcentral
UUAUUAUCAUUUUCCAAAACUAAGAUUUGACUAUCUUAUUAACGUUUUUGUAAAAAAUUUGCAAAAACGUUAAUAAGAUAGUCAAAUCUUAAUUUUGAAAAAUGAUAAUAAAGAGAAGAGUAUUAUCGAAAUAUCAAAACAAUUCAAAGAUUACAAUAAAUGUCCCUCUUUAUUCCUGGCAAUAAUGAUGUCUGUGAAUGAAGUUUUGCAACGAAUCAAUCAGGAAUUAACGAAAACUGUAAAAAGAUCAGUGUAAUCUAAUAUUCGAACAAGAACACAACGUUUUUGUGGAAUAGCGUCCGUCCCAUUCCCGGCUGACGAUCCGGCCACGCGGAGGCAUUAACAGCGAUGGCAGUGAAUCAUCGCCACGAACGUCGCGGUAAAGACAACACGUGUCUUAUGGAGGAGUCUUAUAUCCUAAAAGAUAAGGCAGGCACGCGCUAUAUCACGGAAUCUAGGAUGAAACGCUCGUUUCAAAUAUGCCCAAAUUGAAUCCCAGUGCCAUUUAAAAAAAGUGACGUUUGACUUGGAUCUCGAAAACAAGUGACGAUAUAAAGUUGGAAAAAAUACAGAUAGUAGGACAUAACCACUCCUACCCUCAUACCAAAUUUCAAAGAAUUCCGAUAACCGAUUUCAAAAUAUUUAGCCAUUUUAGCCACUCUAUAUAUCCACAACAGGGUAAACCUGAAGAUAAAGGAUGGAGUCAAAGGGGCCGGGCCCUGUUCCCUCUGGAAAAAGUGGAAGCGUGGGACUCGGAUUUGAAUUCGGAUCCUCCAGGCUUCAGUACGCGGCCAUUCGGCCAACGAAUCUGCAAUGAUCACUGGAAAAUUUUGUCCGUCACGUAAUCGAUAUCAACUAUCUGGAUUGGUCAGGGGUGCUAUUAAUCCAUUAUUAGGCAGUUGUUAUGGAUAAUAAAGGAUACCCAGAAGACCGUGGUCGAUCGGACGGUAUCCAGAAAUACGCGGCACUUCCAUCGGUGGGAUCGAAUUCAAUAUCGGUUCUUUUCAUUUACCUAGCGGCAUUUCUAAAUCUUUCGGCCGGAAUCGGAGUCCGGUGGUCCAACACCUUGGUCGGUUCACGCGUUUCAUCCCCACCCAUAGCCAUAGAAAACGAAAACUUAGGUUAAACAUACAAAGAAGUGGCUAAAGCGCCGCCGGUCGAAACGGUGGUGGAUGGGUUCUGAUUUCUUUCGCAUAUUUUACACUCCUUUCCAAUCAGGGAGAUGAGUAAGGGGUGGAGCCAGUU